RNAcentral lists this ribosomal RNA (271 nucleotides) under uncultured bacterium. Its description in RNAcentral is "partial 16S ribosomal RNA". It matches the Rfam family "Bacterial small subunit ribosomal RNA", at positions 524 to 794 of the family's 1533-position model. The record is from RNAcentral.
UACGAAGGGGGCUAGCGUUGCUCGGAAUUACUGGGCGUAAAGGGAGCGUAGGCGGAUAGUUUAGUCAGAGGUGAAAGCCCAGGGCUCAACCUUGGAACUGCCUUUGAUACUGGCUAUCUUGAGUAUGGGAGAGGUGAGUGGAACUCCGAGUGUAGAGGUGAAAUUCGUAGAUAUUCGGAAGAACACCAGUGGCGAAGGCGACUCACUGGCCCACUACUGACGCUGAGGCUCGAAAGCGUGGGGAGUAAACAGGAUUAGAAACCCCAGUAGU